This 314-nucleotide unclassified non-coding RNA is filed under the name uncultured Sordariales. Its description in RNAcentral is "sequence contains ITS1". The stretch from base 1 to 98 matches the Rfam family "5.8S ribosomal RNA", at positions 50 to 154 of the family's 154-position model. Lineage: Eukaryota; Fungi; Ascomycota; Sordariomycetes; Sordariales. The record is from RNAcentral.
GAAAUACGAUAAGUAAUGUGAAUUCAGUGAAUCAUCGAAUCUUUAAACGCACAUUGCGCCCGCUAGUUAUUCUGGCGGGCAUACCUGUCCAAGCAUCAUUUCAACCAUCAAGCCCCCAGGCUUGUAUUAGGGACUCUGCAAGCUCUUCGCUCGCAGACCCUAAAAACCAGUAGCAGGCUUGUAAGACACACCGAGCGUAGUAGCAUAAUUCUCACUUAGGGCGUGCUGCGGGUUCCGGCCGUAAAACCGACUCUUCGAGAGAGGAGACACCCAAGGUUGACCUCGGAUCAGGUAGGAAUACCCGCUGAACUUAA